This 59-nucleotide transfer RNA is filed under the name Heterodera glycines (soybean cyst nematode). RNAcentral's name for it is "tRNA-Phe". Lineage: Eukaryota; Metazoa; Nematoda; Chromadorea; Rhabditida; Heteroderidae. The record is from RNAcentral.
UAUAUUUUAGUUUAUUUUUUUUAAAAUUUAGUUUUGAAGAUACUAAGAAGAUAAUAUUU